UCCAAUACCAACAUUAGUGUGCGAUGGAAGGACGCUUAGGGCUAAGGGGGCUAGCGGAUGGAAGUGCUAGUCUAAGGUCGUAGGAGGUUAUACAGGCAAAUCCGUAUAACAAUACUCCGAGAACUGAAAGGCUUUUUGAAGUCUUCGGAUGGAUAGAAGAACCCCUGAUGCCGUCGAGCCAAGAAAAGUUUCUAAGUUUAGCUAAUGUUGCCCGUACCGUAAACCGACACAGGUGGGUGGGAUGAGUAUUCUAAGGCGCGUGGAAGAACUCUCUUUAAGGAACUCUGCAAAAUAGCACCGUAUCUUCGGUAUAAGGUGUGGUUAGCUUUGUAUUAGGAUUUACUCCGAAAGCAAGGAAACUUACAACAAAGAGUCCCUCCCGACUGUUUACCAAAAACACAGCACUCUGCUAACUCGUAAGAGGAUGUAUAGGGUGUGACGCCUGCCCGGUGCUCGAAGGUUAAUUGAUGGGGUUAGCAUUAGCGAAGCUCUUGAUCGAAGCCCGAGUAAACGGCGGCCGUAACUAUAACGGUCCUAAGGUAGCGAAAUUCCUUGUCGGUUAAAUACCGACCUGCAUGAAUGGCGUAACGAGAUGGGAGCUGUCUCAAAGAGGGAUCCAGUGAAAUUGUAGUGGAGGUGAAAAUUCCUCCUACCCGCGGCAAGACGGAGAGACCCCGUGGACCUU
Molecule: ribosomal RNA, 685 nt
Filed under: Campylobacter coli
Lineage: Bacteria; Pseudomonadati; Campylobacterota; Epsilonproteobacteria; Campylobacterales; Campylobacteraceae
Description: partial 23S ribosomal RNA
Rfam family: Bacterial large subunit ribosomal RNA
Source: RNAcentral